GAAAUGCGAUAAGUAAUGUGAAUUGCAGAAUUCAGUGAAUCAUCGAAUCUUUGAACGCACCUUGCGCUCCUUGGUAUUCCUUGGAGCAUGCCUGUUUGAGUAUCAUGAAAUCUUCAAAGUAAAUCUUUUGUUAACUCAAUUGGUUUCUACUUUGGUAUUGGAGGUCUUUGCAGCUUCACACCUGCUCCUCUUUGUUCAUUAGCUGGAUCUCAGUGUUAUGCUUGGUUCCACUCGGCGUGAUAAGUUAUCUAUCGCUGAGGACACUGUAAAAGGUGGCCAAGGUAAAUGCAGAUGAACCGCUUCUAAUAGUCCAUUGACUUGGACAAUACUUUUAUGAUCUGAUCUCAAAUCAGGUAGGACUACCCGCUGAACUUAAGG
Molecule: unclassified non-coding RNA, 378 nt
Filed under: plant metagenome
Description: partial contains 5.8S ribosomal RNA, internal transcribed spacer 2, and large subunit ribosomal RNA
Rfam family: 5.8S ribosomal RNA (bases 1-105)
Source: RNAcentral